Molecule: non-coding RNA, 98 nt
Filed under: Bacteroidota bacterium
Lineage: Bacteria; Pseudomonadati; Bacteroidota
Description: Bacteroidetes bacterium TPP sequence
Rfam family: TPP riboswitch aptamer (THI element)
About the family: Vitamin B(1) in its active form thiamin pyrophosphate (TPP) is an essential coenzyme that is synthesised by coupling of pyrimidine and thiazole moieties in bacteria. The previously detected thiamin-regulatory element, thi box was extended, resulting in a new, highly conserved RNA secondary structure, the THI element, which is widely distributed in eubacteria and also occurs in some archaea. Analysis of operon structures identified a large number of new candidate thiamin-regulated genes, mostly transporters, in various prokaryotic organisms.
Source: RNAcentral
AUUUCCAAAUAGGGGUGCCUUAAUAUUAAGGGCUGAGAUCAUACCCAAUGAACCUGAUCCAGGUAAUUCUGGCGUAGGGAGAAAAGGUUUUUUAUUGU